This 477-nucleotide ribosomal RNA is filed under the name Veillonella parvula. Its description in RNAcentral is "bacterial SSU rRNA". It matches the Rfam family "Bacterial small subunit ribosomal RNA", at positions 28 to 474 of the family's 1533-position model. Lineage: Bacteria; Bacillati; Bacillota; Negativicutes; Veillonellales; Veillonellaceae. The record is from RNAcentral.
GACGAACGCUGGCGGCGUGCUUAACACAUGCAAGUCGAACGAAGAGCGAUGGAAGCUUGCUUCUAUCAAUCUUAGUGGCGAACGGGUGAGUAACGCGUAAUCAACCUGCCCUUCAGAGGGGGACAACAGUUGGAAACGACUGCUAAUACCGCAUACGAUCUAAACUCGGCAUCGAGGAUAGAUGAAAGGUGGCCUCUACAUGUAAGCUAUCACUGAAGGAGGGGAUUGCGUCUGAUUAGCUAGUUGGAGGGGUAACGGCCCACCAAGGCGAUGAUCAGUAGCCGGUCUGAGAGGAUGAACGGCCACAUUGGGACUGAGACACGGCCCAGACUCCUACGGGAGGCAGCAGUGGGGAAUCUUCCGCAAUGGACGAAAGUCUGACGGAGCAACGCCGCGUGAGUGAUGACGGCCUUCGGGUUGUAAAGCUCUGUUAAUCGGGACGAAAGGCCUUCUUGCGAAUAGUGAGAAGGAUUGACG